AAAGGGAAGGGGAAGGGAGAGCAGGAGAGAACUUGAAUCAACUCUGCUACAGAAUUACCGAUUUCUUCCUGGGCAACUACAUUCUGAUUAAACCAACUGCUGGGUACUAAGACCAAAAAACAAUGUGGUCUCACCCUGGGGGAGCAGCCUCUGUUCUCAUUUUCUUAAAUCACAAAGACAAUGGUAGAAGAACAAGAGGUAAAGUACUUAGAAAAUAGAAGUUGAGAUUUCUAACUACUACGUUUCUCUCCAGGGGGUGAGGGAUGAGGAAGGAGCAGACUGUGAUGACUAUCACCAUUUGAGUUUUAUUCUGCUAUAUGCCACUUUUCUAUCAAGUAACCCGAGGAAACACCUUAUAGGAAUAGCUCUCAAGACGUGGUUCCUGGGCCAGCAGCACCUGGCAGCUCGUUAGAGAUGGUCAAUGCUGGAGCAUGGGGAAGGCAAAUUGGAUUGAACCUCUUCACAGGACCUGCUUCCUGAGGUCUUCUCGCCAGCAGCCUGCAGUGUGGGCUUUCUGAGAACAGGGGGCAUGAGGAAACGCCACAGCCCUGGAGACGUUCUCUGCCUGCAGGUGCUGACAAUACACAGACACACACACCUGUGUCUAAGUGGGCCCAUAUUCACCUCUGGGAACAGGCCCUGCUGAGGAGGGGAGAUCCUCCAGCACAGCGAGGCAAGCCUGCUCACUCGGUCCUGCUUCCCACAGUCCAGCAAGCCCUGCUGGUUGCUUGUCAUUCCCUUCCUCUCUCGUGUCACCAUCCAGCAGCAUUCUGGGAGAUGAUGACCCUUCUUUUC
RNAcentral lists this long non-coding RNA (795 nucleotides) under Equus caballus (horse). RNAcentral's name for it is "lncRNA (ENSECAG00000056481.1)". Lineage: Eukaryota; Metazoa; Chordata; Mammalia; Perissodactyla; Equidae. The record is from RNAcentral.